Molecule: long non-coding RNA, 788 nt
Filed under: Rattus norvegicus (Norway rat)
Lineage: Eukaryota; Metazoa; Chordata; Mammalia; Rodentia; Muridae
Description: long non-coding RNA NONRATT000154
Source: RNAcentral
AAGCAACCCAUUUUUCUCUCCCUUUUCGUUUUGCAUGAAUUUGGGGAGGAGCGAUGGCAAAUGACUUUCAACAAGGGUGGUAGUAUGUGUGGGUGCGUUCACUGAGAACAAUCGUUCCCCGAUCCCGGUUUAACUUCAAGCAAGCACUAAGCGGCUUCACCAGUAGUAGCACGUCUCGAUCCUAAAAUCCGCAAUCAUCCUCUGCUCCGAUAACUUGGGGCCAAAUUCCUUGGGAAUAACCCGCUUCCUAAAAAACAAACAAACAAACAAACAAACAACCCAAACAACAACAAAACGGGUUGCAUUUCCGCGUCCAAACGGGGGCGUUAUGGGUUCCUUCCCGCCUCCGGGAUGCCCAGGCCCGGCUCGCACUCUCGCAUUUCCCAGACGGCGGUUGCCCGCGUCCCGAGCCAGCUUUUGUGUGCAGCGUUUGCUCCCCGCCACUAGGACUCCAAGGCACACGGUGGCGACGAGGAAUCUAAGUCAAUACUCGCUAAAGUUCUCAAAGGCACUUCAACCCCGCCUCCACGGCAGGCGCCAUCCCACCGGGAAGCAGCAACGGAGACACCGUAGUUUCCGCCAUUCCGUCUUUCCCCUGCACUUUGGGUUUUUCUCAGAGCAACGCUCACCGGCGGGACCAGCCACCGAGAGUCCCUCUGUCCGCGCCGCAGCGCUCACUCCCGCAGCCGGGGACGCGGGCAGCACAGAGCCCGGGUCCCCCUCUCCCGCCGCAGCGACUCCGGCCUCUCUGGCCUGUACCGUCUCGAUGGUAUGGCGCGGCCGCAGGC